GCUGCGGCAGGCCUAACACAUGCAAGUCGAGCGGUAGAGAGAAGCUUGCUUCUCUUGAGAGCGGCGGACGGGUGAGUAAUGCCUAGGAAUCUGCCUGGUAGUGGGGGAUAACGUCCGGAAACGGACGCUAAUACCGCAUACGUCCUACGGGAGAAAGCAGGGGACCUUCGGGCCUUGCGCUAUCAGAUGAGCCUAGGUCGGAUUAGCUAGUUGGUGGGGUAAUGGCUCACCAAGGCGACGAUCCGUAACUGGUCUGAGAGGAUGAUCAGUCACACUGGAACUGAGACACGGUCCAGACUCCUACGGGAGGCAGCAGUGGGGAAUAUUGGACAAUGGGCGAAAGCCUGAUCCAGCCAUGCCGCGUGUGUGAAGAAGGUCUUCGGAUUGUAAAGCACUUUAAGUUGGGAGGAAGGGCAGUAAAUUAAUACUUUGCUGNUUUGACGUUACCGACAGAAUAAGCACCGGCUAACUCUUGUGCCAGCAGCCGCGGUAAU
This 494-nucleotide ribosomal RNA is filed under the name uncultured bacterium. RNAcentral describes it as "bacterial SSU rRNA". It matches the Rfam family "Bacterial small subunit ribosomal RNA", at positions 39 to 524 of the family's 1533-position model. The record is from RNAcentral.